AAAUCGAGUAGGGCGGGACACGUGAUAUCCUGUCUGAAUAUGGGGGGACCAUCCUCCAAGGCUAAAUACUCCUGACUGACCGAUAGUGAACCAGUACCGUGAGGGAAAGGCGAAAAGAACCCCUGUGAGGGGAGUGAAAUAGAACCUGAAACCGUGUACGUACAAGCAGUAGGAGCACCUUCGUGGUGUGACUGCGUACCUUUUGUAUAAUGGGUCAGCGACUUAUAUUCAGUGGCAAGGUUAACCGUAUAGGGGAGCCGUAGCGAAAGCGAGUCUUAACUGGGCGCUCAGUCUCUGGAUAUAGACCCGAAACCGGGUGAUCUAGCCAUGGGCAGGUUGAAGGUUGAGUAACAUCAACUGGAGGACCGAACCGACUAAUGUUGAAAAAUUAGCGGAUGACUUGUGGCUAGGGGUGAAAGGCCAAUCAAACUCGGAGAUAGCUGGUUCUCCCCGAAAGCUAUUUAGGUAGCGCCUCGGACGAAUACUACUGGGGGUAGAGCACUGUUAAGGCUAGGGGGUCAUCCCGACUUACCAACCCUUUGCAAACUCCGAAUACCAGUAAGUACUAUCCGGGAGACACACGGCGGGUGCUAACGUCCGUCGUGGAGAGGGAAACAACCCAGACCGCCAGCUAAGGUCCCAAAGUAUUGCUAAGUGGGAAACGAUGUGGGAAGGCUCAGACAGCUAGGAUGUUGGCUUAGAAGCAGCCAUCAUUUAAAGAAAGCGUAAUAGCUCACUAGUCGAGUCGGCCUGCGCGGAAGAUGUAACGGGGCUAAGCAAUACACCGAAGCUGCGGCAAUAUCUUUUAGAUAUUGGGUAGGGGAGCGUUCUGUAAGCCGUUGAAGGUGAAUCGUAAGGUUUGCUGGAGGUAUCAGAAGUGCGAAUGCUGACAUGAGUAACGACAAAGGGGGUGAAAAACCUCCUCGCCGGAAGACCAAGGGUUCCUGUCCAACGUUAAUCGGGGCAGGGUGAGUCGACCCCUAAGGUGAGGCCGAAAGGCGUAAUCGAUGGGAAACGGGUUAAUAUUCCCGUACUUCUGACUAUUGCGAUGGGGGGACGGAGAAGGCUAGGUGGGCCAGGCGACGGUUGUCCUGGUUCAAGUGCGUAGGCUUGAGAGUUAGGUAAAUCCGGCUCUCUCUAAGGCUGAGACACGACGUCGAGCUACUACGGUAGUGAAGUCAUUGAUGCCAUGCUUCCAGGAAAAGCCUCUAAGCUUCAGAUAGUCAGGAAUCGUACCCCAAACCGACACAGGUGGUCGGGUAGAGAAUACCAAGGCGCUUGAGAGAACUCGGGUGAAGGAACUAGGCAAAAUGGUACCGUAACUUCGGGAGAAGGUACGCUCUUGAUGGUGAAGUCCCUCGCGGAUGGAGCUGACGAGAGUCGCAGAUACCAGGUGGCUGCAACUGUUUAUUAAAAACACAGCACUGUGCAAAAUCGCAAGAUGACGUAUACGGUGUGACGCCUGCCCGGUGCCGGAAGGUUAAUUGAUGGGGUUAGCGCAAGCGAAGCUCUUGAUCGAAGCCCCGGUAAACGGCGGCCGUAACUAUAACGGUCCUAAGGUAGCGAAAUUCCUUGUCGGGUAAGUUCCGACCUGCACGAAUGGCGUAAUGAUGGCCACGCUGUCUCCACCCGAGACUCAGUGAAAUUGAAAUCGCUGUGAAGAUGCAGUGUACCCGCGGCUAGACGGAAAGACCCCGUGAACCUUUACUACAGCUUGGCACUGAACAUUGAACCUACAUGUGUAGGAUAGGUGGGAGGCUAUGAAGACGUGACGCCAGUUGCGUUGGAGCCGUCCUUGAAAUACCACCCUUGUAUGUUUGAUGUUCUAACUUAGACCCGUUAUCCGGGUUGAGGACAGUGCCUGGUGGGUAGUUUGACUGGGGCGGUCUCCUCCCAAAGAGUAACGGAGGAGCACGAAGGUGGGCUAAUCACGGUUGGACAUCGUGAGGUUAGUGCAAUGGCAUAAGCCCGCUUAACUGCGAGAAUGACGGUUCGAGCAGGUGCGAAAGCAGGUCAUAGUGAUCCGGUGGUUCUGUAUGGAAGGGCCAUCGCUCAACGGAUAAAAGGUACUCCGGGGAUAACAGGCUGAUACCGCCCAAGAGUUCAUAUCGACGGCGGUGUUUGGCACCUCGAUGUCGGCUCAUCACAUCCUGGGGCUGAAGUCGGUCCCAAGGGUAUGGCUGUUCGCCAUUUAAAGUGGUACGCGAGCUGGGUUUAGAACGUCGUGAGACAGUUCGGUCCCUAUCUGCCGUGGGCGUUGGAAGAUUGAAGGGGGCUGCUCCUAGUACGAGAGGACCGGAGUGGACGAACCUCUGGUGUUCGGGUUGUGUCGCCAGACGCAUUGCCCGGUAGCUAAGUUCGGAAUUGAUAAGCGCUGAAAGCAUCUAAGCGCGAAGCGAGCCCUGAGAUGAGUCUUCCCUGAUACUUUAAGUAUCCUAAAGGGUUGUUCGAGACUAGAACGUUGAUAGGCAGGGUGUGUAAGCGUUGUGAGGCGUUGAGCUAACCUGUACUAAUUGCCCGUGAGGCUUAACCA
RNAcentral lists this ribosomal RNA (2533 nucleotides) under Vibrio cholerae. Its description in RNAcentral is "partial 23S ribosomal RNA". It matches the Rfam family "Bacterial large subunit ribosomal RNA", at positions 405 to 2925 of the family's 2925-position model. Lineage: Bacteria; Pseudomonadati; Pseudomonadota; Gammaproteobacteria; Vibrionales; Vibrionaceae. The record is from RNAcentral.